RNAcentral lists this ribosomal RNA (492 nucleotides) under uncultured bacterium. Its description in RNAcentral is "partial 16S ribosomal RNA". It matches the Rfam family "Bacterial small subunit ribosomal RNA", at positions 29 to 507 of the family's 1533-position model. The record is from RNAcentral.
AGUGAACGCUGGCGGUAGGCCUAACACAUGCAAGUCGAACGGCAGCACAGUAAGAGCUUGCUCUUACGGGUGGCGAGUGGCGGACGGGUGAGGAAUACAUCGGAAUCUACUUUUUCGUGGGGGAUAACGUAGGGAAACUUACGCUAAUACCGCAUACGACCUACGGGUGAAAGCAGGGGAUCUUCGGACCUUGCGCGAUUGAAUGAGCCGAUGUCGGAUCAGCUAGUUGGCGGGGUAAAGGCCCACCAAGGCGACGAUCCGUAGCUGGUCUGAGAGGAUGAUCAGCCACACUGGAACUGAGACACGGUCCAGACUCCUACGGGAGGCAGCAGUGGGGAAUAUUGGACAAUGGGCGCAAGCCUGAUCCAGCCAUACCGCGUGGGUGAAGAAGGCCUUCGGGUUGUAAAGCCCUUUUGUUGAGAAAGAAAAGCAGCAGGUUAAUACCCCGCUGUUCUGACGGUACCCAAAGAAUAAGCACCGGCUAACUUCGUG